UUUGAAACGCCGGUUCUCGUACGAUCGCUGAAGUUAAGCAACGUCGGGCAUAGUCAGUACUUAGAUGGGUGACCGCUUGAGAAUACCAGGCGUUGUAAG
This is a non-coding RNA of Acanthosepion pharaonis, 99 nucleotides long. NCBI's taxonomy places the organism in Eukaryota, Metazoa, Mollusca, Cephalopoda, Sepiida, Sepiidae. The record is from the annotation of a GenBank genome assembly.